CGGAAAAGAGGAAAACAAUAAAACUACCAACAAUAAAGCAUAAUAAUAAAAGCUUGUUACAAGUUUUAAAGUUUGAAAGUAAAAUGUCAAACAAAUUUGUUGCUUUAUUGUUAGUAGUGUGCCUUGUAACUGCUCAAGGUCAGCAUAUUUCUGUUAAAUAUGGUGAAAAAGUAGUGCCUCCAGCAGAUUGCUUCGUUUAUUGCAUCGCUGGAUGUGUAUGGCCCAAAGGCGUUUGUGACAGACUAUGUAAAUUUCGUUGUAGUUUCACCAUGUGGGAAUCUUUUCGUGGUACCGCCCCAAGGAAGCAUGGUCCAGUUGGUGCUCCCAGAGGUUCUUUGGCCCCUGCUCCACACACCCAUAGGGCAUAAUGGAUUCAAGUAAAAACACAACGACUUUGUCAUGAAUUGCUAUGUUUGUAACAAUUUAUGUCAAGAUCCUCUUUUCCCUUCAUUGUAAUUUUUUAUCAUAUAAUAAAUUGAAUUGUUAUUCUCUAUUCA
This is a long non-coding RNA of Vicia villosa (hairy vetch), 497 nucleotides long. RefSeq lists it as uncharacterized. NCBI's taxonomy places the organism in Eukaryota, Viridiplantae, Streptophyta, Magnoliopsida, Fabales, Fabaceae. The transcript is spliced from 2 exons. The record is from RefSeq and is a predicted model, not a curated record.